GACGAACGCUGGCGGCGUGCUUAACACAUGCAAGUCGAACGGAAAGGCCCUGCUUUUGUGGGGUGCUCGAGUGGCGAACGGGUGAGUAACACGUGAGUAACCUGCCCUUGACUUUGGGAUAACUUCAGGAAACUGGGGCUAAUACCGGAUAGGAGCUCCUGCUGCAUGGUGGGGGUUGGAAAGUUUCGGCGGUUGGGGAUGGACUCGCGGCUUAUCAGCUUGUUGGUGGGGUAGUGGCUUACCAAGGCUUUGACGGGUAGCCGGCCUGAGAGGGUGACCGGCCACAUUGGGACUGAGAUACGGCCCAGACUCCUACGGGAGGCAGCAGUGGGGAAUAUUGCACAAUGGGCGGAAGCCUGAUGCAGCAACGCUGCGUGCGGGAUGACGGCCUUCGGGUUGUAAACCGCUUUCGCCUGUGACGAAGCGUGAGUGACGGUAAUGGGUAAAGAAGCGCCGGCUAACUACGUG
Molecule: ribosomal RNA, 468 nt
Filed under: uncultured bacterium
Lineage: Bacteria
Description: partial 16S ribosomal RNA
Rfam family: Bacterial small subunit ribosomal RNA
Source: RNAcentral